Lycium ferocissimum is the source of this 728-nucleotide long non-coding RNA. RefSeq lists it as uncharacterized. The transcript is spliced from 2 exons. Lineage: Eukaryota; Viridiplantae; Streptophyta; Magnoliopsida; Solanales; Solanaceae. The record is from RefSeq and is a predicted model, not a curated record.
UCUCUAACUUCCAUCUUUCCUUCUCACCGCAAGUAAAACCUUUUCCUUAGCUAUGCAAUCUCUUUGAAAAGUAAAAUAACAAGACGAUGCAGACUGGUCACACAGUAUCACUCCUUUUCUUAAUCACUAUUUUCACGGAAAAAGACAAUACAGUUCAUCCCAAAUCUCUCUAUAAGAGGAGAACAAAUCUAAAAGAUGCACUUGGGUUUAAAACAUUUUUAAAAUCUUAGUAAGGAGCAUGUAUUCAACUACUCUAAAGCUUAGUUUUGGCAGAAAUGGAGAUCCGACAGAGCUUUGUUGUCUUCUUCGGUACAAAAAAUUCAACUUGGAGUUUCUUAGAACUAUAAAAGCCAAAUAGUGGACCCAGAGAAGGCAUGAAAAUUGAAAAGAAGAAAAAAAUGGUUGAUGCACUUAGAUGCAGAAUUUGGGGUUCUCAUGAAAUACGUAAUUUUUUUCUUGGGUUUUCUUUUUCUCUUAUUGUAUUCAUAAUUAUAUUCUUCAAUUGAGACUACUCACUCCGAUUCAACAUUUUUCCUCUAAGAUUCUCCCUAUUUGUUCCAAUUAUUUGAUUUACACAAGUAAAUAUUGCAUCUACCUGCUCUGUUUUCUGGAUAAAUAUGGGAGCUUGGGAUGUGUAUCUUGGUAGCAGCUCAAGGUAAACGAAGAGAGGAGAGAGAAUUAUUGGUAACUAUAGCUAAUACUCUGUAUUAGUUAUUGAGUUAGCAAAA